This is a non-coding RNA of Hordeum vulgare subsp. vulgare (domesticated barley), 119 nucleotides long. The record is from Rfam. NCBI's taxonomy places the organism in Eukaryota, Viridiplantae, Streptophyta, Magnoliopsida, Poales, Poaceae.
GGAUGCGAUCAUACCAGCACUAAAACACCGGAUCUCAUUAUUACUCCGAAGUUAAGCAUGCUUGGGCNNNNNUAGUACUAGGAUUGGUGACCUCCUCGGAACUCCUCGUGUUGCAUUCC